This 706-nucleotide ribosomal RNA is filed under the name uncultured bacterium. RNAcentral's name for it is "bacterial SSU rRNA". It matches the Rfam family "Bacterial small subunit ribosomal RNA", at positions 791 to 1501 of the family's 1533-position model. The record is from RNAcentral.
UAGUCCACGCCCUAAACGAUGUCAACUGGUUGUUGGUCUUCACUGACUCAGUAACGAAGCUAACGCGUAAAGUUGCCGCUUGGGAAGUACGCCCGCAAGGUUAAACUCAAAGGAAUUGACGGGGACCCGCACAAGCGGUGGAUGAUGUGGUUUAAUUCGAUGCAACGCGAAAAACCUUACCCACCUUUGACAUGUACGGAAGAUCGCAGAGACGCGAUUGUGCUCGAAAGAGAACCGUAACACAGGUGCUGCAUGGCUGUCGUCAGCUCGUGUCGUGAGAUGUUGGGUUAAGUCCCGCAACGAGCGCAACCCUUGCCAUUAGUUGCUACAUUCAGUUGGGCACUCUAAUGGGACUGCCGGUGACAAACCGGAGGAAGGUGGGGAUGACGUCAAGUCCUCAUGGCCCUUAUAGGUGGGGCUACACACGUCAUACAAUGGCUGGUACAAAGGGUUGCCAACCCGCGAGGGGGAGCUAAUCCCAUAAAGCCAGUCGUAGUCCGGAUCGUAGUCUGCAACUCGACUACGUGAAGUCGGAAUCGCUAGUAAUCGUGGAUCAGAAUGUCACGGUGAAUACGUUCCCGGGUCUUGUACACACCGCCCGUCACACCAUGGGAGCGGGUUCUGCCAGAAGUAGUUAGCCUAACCGCAAGGAGGGCGAUUACCACGGCAGGGUUCGUGACUGGGGUGAAGUCGUAACAAGGUAACC